RNAcentral lists this transfer RNA (76 nucleotides) under Candidatus Doudnaibacteriota bacterium. RNAcentral describes it as "Candidatus Doudnabacteria bacterium tRNA-Ala". It matches the Rfam family "tRNA". Rfam says of the family: Transfer RNA (tRNA) molecules are approximately 80 nucleotides in length. Their secondary structure includes four short double-helical elements and three loops (D, anti-codon, and T loops). The record is from RNAcentral. Lineage: Bacteria; Candidatus Doudnaibacteriota. RNAcentral also lists the same sequence under 1 other name.
GGGGACGUAGCUCAGUUGGUAGAGCAUCCGGUUUGCAUCCGGAAGGUCAGGGGUUCGAAUCCCCUCGUCUCCACCA